Triticum aestivum (bread wheat) is the source of this 998-nucleotide long non-coding RNA. RefSeq lists it as uncharacterized. The transcript is spliced from 4 exons. Lineage: Eukaryota; Viridiplantae; Streptophyta; Magnoliopsida; Poales; Poaceae. The record is from RefSeq and is a predicted model, not a curated record.
CGCCCAAAUCCUUCGUGCCCUCGGCCAUACCGCAGCCGCCGCCGUCACCACCCAUCGUACCACCGGCCCCAACCAUCCCACCGCCGCCGACCGCCCUCCAUCCCGAGCACUGCCACCGUCGCCACAACCACUCCAGAGCCGCGGGGGCGGCCGCCCUCCAUCCCGAGCACUGCCGCCGUCGCCCCAACCACUCCAGAUCGCAGUGGCGUCCGCCCUCCACCCAGACCACUGCCGCCGGCGUCCACCCACCACCGUCCCCUACCUCUCCAGACCACAAGCGGCGAACACCCUCCUCCGGCUAAUGCCUUCCCUCGUCACCACCCAUCUCGCGAGCUUCCUCCCCGAGCAGGAUUCUUCCUCCCACAAGCUUCACCCGAGCACCAAUCGGGGCUGCCUCCUACGUCCUCUACCCCGAGCAGUGGAGCGUCGACCAUCCUCUCCCGUGAGCAGCUCUGCCUCCUCAACUUCCCGCAACCACGAGAUUUGACAGGUGGCACACAGUUUGAAAACAGAAGUAGCGAUUUAGGUGGAGUAUGUCGAAGGACUCAAGAUUGACAUUGCUUAGUAUAACGUGAUCAGAAAAGCCAUAUCAUCCAAAGGGAGAAGGAACCAUCUAAGGCGCAUCAAAUCAAGCUAGAGGUCUCUGCAUACAUUUUAGUUCAGUAGCAGCUUUUCGAAAGGUUUCCCAAAGAUACACUAGUUGAUGGAUAUUUGGAUGAUCUACAAGCUGCUGAAGGUUUGCAAGACCUGCAAUUAAGUUGGUGGAGUGAUAAUGUAAUGCGCCUUCUUUGUCGAACCUGGAGACUUUGGCAAGUUCUGCUCAUUUUGGUGCUUGUUUUGGCACAUAGGCCACUGUAUGCUCAUUCUGGUUGUGUGACACAUCUAGAAACAUAUAUACUUCUCCCUUUGUAGCACUACAUUGUAGUUGUGUGGCACAUCGAAAAACAUAUAUGUACCUCUUUUUGUGGCAGAACUUGCUUAUAUAUGUUCUAUGUUUA